Molecule: ribosomal RNA, 423 nt
Filed under: Triticum aestivum (bread wheat)
Lineage: Eukaryota; Viridiplantae; Streptophyta; Magnoliopsida; Poales; Poaceae
Description: partial small subunit ribosomal RNA
Source: RNAcentral
AUGGCACAGAAAAAGCCAGAGAUGCUUACUAUAGUCCAAAAUUGUGCAGUGAUAAGUAUAGCUUGCUGCGUGUUCUACAGCCACUGUAGUAACAGGACUCUUUCAAGGGACCAAUCUUUUGAUCGUAGAACUGCUAGCUUGGUUGCAUUUUCACUAUGGAGAAAGCAAAAUGAGGACAAGAGACUGAUUUCAAAGCAAUUGCCUAUGCAUAAGCUUAAGGGCCAGAUUUGCUCGUCCUGGUUUGCUCCGGUUGGCUCUGCCAGUGAUUACCCACUUCUAUGGAAAUGGGCCAUUUAUGGAGAAUUAGCUUCCAAUGGAUCUGAACACUCCAACAUCAUUUCACCUGUCUACUCUUUGUGGGUUACAUUCAUUGGUCUUACAUGGCCAAUUAUGUCGUGGAGCGGUCAACUGGAUGGGCUCUAA